GACGAACGCUGGCGGCGUGCUUAACACAUGCAAGUCGAGCGAGGCCCCUCCUUCGGGAGGGUGUCCUAGCGGCGAACGGGUGAGUAACACGUGGGCAACCUGCCCUCAGCUCUGGGAUAACUCCGGGAAACCGGGGCUAAUACCGGAUACGACCUCCACGGGCAUCUGCGGAGGUGGAAAGUUUUUCGGCUGAGGAUGGGCCCGCGGCCUAUCAGCUAGUUGGUGGGGUAGUGGCCCACCAAGGCGACGACGGGUAGCCGGCCUGAGAGGGCGACCGGCCACACUGGGACUGAGACACGGCCCAGACUCCUACGGGAGGCAGCAGUGGGGAUUAUUGCGCAAUGGGCGAAAGCCUGACGCAGCGACGCCGCGUGAGGGACGAAGGCCUUCGGGUUGUAAACCUCUUUCAGCAGGGACGAAGCGAAAGUGACGGUACCUGCAGAAGAAGCACCGGCCAACUACGUG
Molecule: ribosomal RNA, 465 nt
Filed under: uncultured bacterium
Lineage: Bacteria
Description: partial 16S ribosomal RNA
Rfam family: Bacterial small subunit ribosomal RNA
Source: RNAcentral